CAAUAGCGUAUAUUAAAGUUGUUGCAGUUAAAAAGCUCGUAGUUGGAUUUCUGGUAGGAGUGACCGUUCCGAACUUGAUUGUUCGUGUAUUGUGUUUUCUCCAGCCAUCCUUGUGGAGAACUUUUCUUGCAUUAAUUUGUAGGGAUUGGGACCCGCAUCGUUUACUGUGAAAAAAUUAGAGUGUUUAAAGCAGGCAAUCGCUUGAAUACAUUAGCAUGGAAUAAUAAGAUAGGACUUUGGUACUAUUUUGUUGGUUUGCAUACCAAAUUAAUGAUCAACAGGAACAGUUUGAGGAUAUUCGUAUGAACAUGUCAGAGGUGAAAUUCUUGGAUUUUGAUCAGACGAACUACUGCGAAAGCAUUUAUCAAGGAUGUUCUCAUUAA
Molecule: ribosomal RNA, 383 nt
Filed under: uncultured eukaryote
Lineage: Eukaryota
Description: partial 18S ribosomal RNA
Rfam family: Eukaryotic small subunit ribosomal RNA
Source: RNAcentral